UAUGUAGGUGUCCUUGUAAGUCGGGUGUGAAAUCCUUCAGCUUAACUGAAGAAUUGCGCUCGAAACUGCUUGGAUUGAGUGCAUGAGAGGAGAGGGGAAUUCUCGGUGUAAGGGUGAAAUCUGUAGAUAUCGAGAGGAACACCAGUGGCGAAGGCGCCUCUCUGGCGUGCAACUGACACUGAAAUACGAAAGCGUGGGUAGCAAACAGGAUUAGAUACCCUGGUAGUCC
This 229-nucleotide ribosomal RNA is filed under the name uncultured bacterium. RNAcentral's name for it is "partial 16S ribosomal RNA". It matches the Rfam family "Bacterial small subunit ribosomal RNA", at positions 568 to 796 of the family's 1533-position model. The record is from RNAcentral.